RNAcentral lists this signal recognition particle RNA (334 nucleotides) under Macaca mulatta (Rhesus monkey). RNAcentral describes it as "Metazoan signal recognition particle RNA (ENSMMUG00000053819.1)". It matches the Rfam family "Metazoan signal recognition particle RNA". From Rfam's summary of the family: The signal recognition particle (SRP) is a universally conserved ribonucleoprotein. It is involved in the co-translational targeting of proteins to membranes. The record is from Rfam by way of RNAcentral. Lineage: Eukaryota; Metazoa; Chordata; Mammalia; Primates; Cercopithecidae.
GCCGGGCAUCGUGGCGGGCGCCUAUAGUCCCAGCUGCUCGGGAGGCUGAGGCAGGAGAAUGGCGUGAACCCGGGAGGCGGAACUUGCAGUGAGCUGAGAUCGCGCCACUGCACUCCAGCCUGGGUGACAGAGCGAGGGUCCGUCACAAAAAAAAGAAAAAAAAAAAAAAAAAAAAGUUGGGACCUAACUCUUGUGAUCCAAGAGACUAUAAUAGACACUUUUUUUUUUUUUUUGAGACGGACUCUCGCUCUGUCGCCCAGGCUGGAGUGCAGUGGCCGGAUCUCAGCUCACUGCAAGCUCCGCCUCCCGGGUUUACGCCAUUCUCCUGCCUCAG